RNAcentral lists this ribosomal RNA (253 nucleotides) under uncultured bacterium. RNAcentral describes it as "partial 16S ribosomal RNA". It matches the Rfam family "Bacterial small subunit ribosomal RNA", at positions 524 to 776 of the family's 1533-position model. The record is from RNAcentral.
UACGUAGGGUGCGAGCGUUAAUCGGAAUUACUGGGCGUAAAGCGUGCGCAGGCGGUUCUGCAAGUCCGAUGUGAAAGCCCCGGGCUCAACCUGGGAAUUGCAUUUGAAACUACAGGGCUAGAGUGUGUCAGAGGGGGGUAGAAUUCCACGUGUAGCAGUGAAAUGCGUAGAGAUGUGGAGGAAUACCGAUGGCGAAGGCAGCCCCCUGGGAUAACACUGACGCUCAUGCACGAAAGCGUGGGGAGCAAACAGG